This 721-nucleotide ribosomal RNA is filed under the name uncultured bacterium. RNAcentral's name for it is "bacterial SSU rRNA". It matches the Rfam family "Bacterial small subunit ribosomal RNA", at positions 740 to 1460 of the family's 1533-position model. The record is from RNAcentral.
CUGACGCUGAGGCUCGAANGCGUGGGUAGCGAACAGGAUUAGAUACCNUGGUAGUCCACGCCGUAAACGAUGAGUGCUAGGUGUUAGNCCCUUUCCGGGGCUUAGUGCCGGAGCUAACGCAAUAANCACUCCGCCUGGGGAGUACGACCGCAAGGUUGAAACUCAAAGGAAUUGACGGGGGCCCGCACAAGCGGUGGAGCAUGUGGUUUAAUUCGAAGCAACGCGAAGAACCUUACCAGGUCUUGACAUCCCGAUGCUAUUCUUAGAGAUAGGAAGUUACUUCGGUACAUCGGAGACAGGUGGUGCAUGGUUGUCGUCAGCUCGUGUCGUGAGAUGUUGGGUUAAGUCCCGCAACGAGCGCAACCCUUAUUGUUAGUUGCCAUCAUUAAGUUGGGCACUCUAGCGAGACUGCCGGUAAUAAACCGGAGGAAGGUGGGGAUGACGUCAAAUCAUCAUGCCCCUUAUGACCUGGGCUACGCACGUGCUACAAUGGUCGGUACAACGAGUUGCGAGCCGGUGACGGCAAGCUAAUCUCUGAAAGCCGAUCUCAGUUCGGAUUGGAGGCUGCAACUCGCCUCCAUGAAGUCGGAAUCGCUAGUAAUCGCGGAUCAGCACGCCGCGGUGAAUACGUUCCCGGGCCUUGUACACACCGCCCGUCACACCACGAGAGUUUGUAACACCCGAAGUCGGUGAGGUAACCUUUUAGGGGCCAGCCGCCUAA